RNAcentral lists this ribosomal RNA (460 nucleotides) under uncultured bacterium. RNAcentral describes it as "partial 16S ribosomal RNA". It matches the Rfam family "Bacterial small subunit ribosomal RNA", at positions 338 to 795 of the family's 1533-position model. The record is from RNAcentral.
CCUACGGGUGGCAGCAGUGAGGAAUAUUGGUCAAUGGGCUUACGCCUGAACCAGCCAAGUCGCGUGAGGGACGACUGCCCUACGGGUUGUAAACCUCUUUUGUCAGGGAGCAACGCCGGCUACGUGUAGCCGGACUGAGAGUACCUGAAGAAAAAGCAACGGCUAACUCCGUGCCAGCCGCCGAGGUAAUACGGAGGAUGCGAGCGUUAUCCGGAUUUAGUGGGUUUAAAGGGUGCGUAGGAGGAAUGCCAAGUCAGCGGUAAAAUCGCGGGGCUAAAACUCGCGCCGAGGUUGAAUCUGGCGUUCUUGAGUGGGCGAGAAGUAUGCGGAAGGCGUGGUGUAGCGGUGAAAUGCAUAGAGAUCACGCAGAACUCCGAUUGCGAAGGCAGCAUACCGGCGCCCAACUGACGCUGAAGCACGAAAGCGUGGGUAUCGAACAGGAUUAGAUACCCGUGUAGUC